UGGCUCAAAAGUGUAGAAGGGCAAGGGGACUCGGCCUCACGGUCCACCUCAGCUCGCGGCUCGGCCAGUAACAAAGACGUGCCGAAAGUAGUUCCGCCAUUACUAUCGGGCCGAGCGCCGCGAGUGAACGUCUCCCCUUGCUCCUCUGUACUUUUAACCCCUUACGAUACAAUAACGUGUGAAACUCGUGGAGCGCAAAGGGUUAAACCACAGGCCAGCUUGGGUCAUAUGAGUAACGCACUGCACGAACGUUGGUGUUAGAUUUUGCUUCUGCACAGUGGCGGCUUUUUAUGUUUAUCGAAUUCUGAAAACACGGAGGCUCGGCUACUAUAUUUCCUGGCAGGACUAAGGUGGAGCGUGCAGAUGAUUCUCCUUGCUCUUGUGCACUUUGAGCUUGAUGAUCGCGGAUGAAAACGUGAGCUGCACUAUAACCAACGUGUUGAAGAAGAUCAAGGAAACAACAGAUAAUUGAAAUUCCAGAUCUUUUCUACUUCGCUCCGAAACGUGUGGCCGUAAUUGUAUUGUAGGAUGCAAGAAGUGCUCCAAAGAUGUGGCAGGUGUUAUCAAAUGUUACAAAGUUACCGGUCUUGUAAUGGUGCCUUUCGCAGAAGUCCUGGAUCCUUUGGCAAGCCUCCUCUAGCAUGUCCACAGGCACCGUGAUGACCAGCCUCAUGUAGGAGGGAUAAUCGAAGCACUGUUAGAAAAGGGCCAAACACCAUGUAAUCAACGGACAAUACCGAACGAGUGGAUACUGAAUUUAAACGGCGUACCUGGCCAGGAAGGCAAAACACGGACUCCUCUAUUAGCAAUCGCUGCACGAAUUCAAGAUCCGAAUUAAAUCCCGGAAAAGAGGCUAGAUCUAUGUAAACCUGGAAACCGAUAGGAUAAUUUAUCGCCAGUAAAUUGCAACCGACCGGCUUUAAUGGCGCCGUGUUCACGGGAACGCGUAAAUCGCGUUCAAUGCUCGACUAAUUAUAUGGAAUUUGCUGUUAAAAAAAUCACUUCCGAUUAACUUAUCCAUACUGAAUUCGAAGGAGUUCAGAAAUUUGUUGGAACGUGCACAGUUUAUGCAUUUAUAUUAAUUCCGACGAAAAGUUUAAUCGAAUAGGCUGGCGCGAUUAUUGCAACAAUGAGGGAGAAGGAAAUAACCUGUUUAUCGUAUGUGAUCUUUCUUAGAAACAUUAUUGCGUUGGAUCUAUCUUGGAAUAAAUGAUUUGAUAUAUGUGUAUGUAAAAGUGUAUACGUCGUGUAUACUUACCAUCAUAUACAUUGCGCCCGUUGGCAUUAUUGGUUUCAAUCCAGGAAUUUUUAGUACGCUAUUGUACGCCAGUUUUGAGUGAUUCUGGGGAAAAUAAACAUAAGUGGGAUGCAAUUAAAUGAAAAUGUAACUGUGUUUUAAAGGGCAACGACAGAAAUCGAUCAAUUUUGGACCUGGCAACGAAAGCUUUUUGCAAGGAAUAAUUCUACAUGCUCGGGUUACAUUUAUUCGAGAGAUGAUGGGAGAGUUAUAAAAAAUAAGAAUAAGCUUUGGAAUGUUGUCUUGGAAAAACUGAUCUUAUUAAUCGUUCUUUAUCAUCUGCGUUUGAAAAUUUAUGAUUAAAAUAGUGAUUUAAGGGACUAGUUGGAAAAUUUAUCGUAAAUUUAUUCAAACAUAUUCAAAAAAUUAAAAAAUCGUUGUUAUAUGAAGGCGCUAGUCGAUUAAAUUUAAGUAUUUUCUAAACUAAUGACUUUUCUAUAAGAGUGAAUUAAUAUUUUUCUGUAGGAAACAAUGAAAUAAAUCGACUAGUGCAUUCGAAACUAUAAAGUUCUAUUAAAAAAAAAUAAUAUUGUAAAAACACUUCUUUGAUAAUUCUAAGAUCUAAUUAAAAGGAACACGCUAUAUAAAUGAAAUAUCUUCUAAUAAUGUAAUAUUUUUUAGUACCCUAUUGAAAUAUGUAAUUUUAAAUAGCGUUGUUUAAAUAUCAUUGUUAUUCAUUUUGUUGGAAAUAUUUCAUUCAAAUAAUGUCUGGUAUAGUACAAUAAUUAUUGCAAAGAUAAUGAACACAUCAUUGAUUCUUGCUUCUGCAUUUCAAGACCUUUACAUUGUUUGCAUUAUUAUUUCACUGAUAUGUCAUCAUCAAAAGCAAAUAACAACGACGAACGAGGAUUACUAAGAAGAACAUUCCAAAAUUUACGUCUGUUUCUUAUAACUUCAGCUUCUGGGUAAAUAAUUAUUCAUUUCGGAUUCCUUAAAAUAUGUAGAAUUAUACUUUGCAAAAAACAUUCGUCGUCUACCAGGUCUAAAAUUGAUCAUUUUCUACCAUUGUUUUUUAUAUAAUGAAACGCAUAAAGAAGUUUAUACAUCUUUACAUUGGAAAUACAUUUUUCAAUGAUUCAAUAUUUUUAUCAGUGAACAUAAUUUAUAGUUUUUUUAUACAAAGUUCUUAAUGUUUUGGAAAAUUGGAGGAUAAUUUAAGUAGUUUAAGUAGUUUACUAAAAAAGCAUUAUUUAAUUCAGUGAAGUACAUCACCCAUACACAUAUGAGUGGGUGGAUAUUUUUAUGAGUAAUUGUAUAUUCCAUUUAAUGUAUUAGUAUAUUGCGUAUUAUCUUGAAUCAUUGAAUUUAUUAGAAAGCUGUAAAAGUUAAUAUCGACUAUUAAUUGUAAAUAGAAACAUUAAAUACUGACAUGUAAGGUACGCAUGAUAUCGUCGUAAAAUUUCUGUGGCGUGUUUCUCAAAAUCGCUGGCAGAGCACCCUGAAUAAGUGUGUUACUACCGAUAAUCCUCUGGCUCAGGCAGUGAAGAGCUUUUCGUAUCUACAAUGAAAAUGAGGCACAUAACUUUUUGCUAUACAUAUUUAAUAAAUCUUAUUUCUUAUUAAAAUAGAAAAUAUAAAUUAAAUAAUCUCUAAAGCAAUGAAAAAUAUUACCAGUGAAAUAAAUACUAAUGAAAUGCUUUUAAAUUAACGGAAUCUACGAAAUAUAUUAUGACUUCUAAGUUUUAUACUACUUACAUUAUUAUAUUAAAUUACUCCGUAUUAUAUUAUUCCGAUGGAAUUACCUGUUAUUAUUAUAUCAAACUCUAUAAAUGAAAUUAUAAUGAAAACGAUUUGUGACAUAAAGGAUAAUAACAUUUGAAUAUUUUAUUAAUACUGUUCCGUUCGCAGUCAUAUUAUUAAAAUCCAUUUCUCUGUAAUACUAAUUAAUGAUAGCAAUAUGAAUUAAUAUUACAAAAUUAUAUGAGUAGACCGAAGCGAUUAGGAUCAAGGGGGGAAACAAAUAAAAAUAAGGAUAUUGGCCAUAUUUGUUACGUUGUUAUAGAAAUCAACAUGCUGAUCGUCCAUAUUCCUUCAUACACUUUCCCCACACUUAGUCCAAUAUAUUUUUAAUUGUUUCAAACUGUUAUUUGCUGUCAGCACAUGUUAGAAUCGAAGCAAACGCGAUGAAUUUGUGGCCAGUCUAAAAUAUGCAGUUGAAAUUUCACAUUUAAAAUAGCAAGAUAAGCUUGGAAAUUUAAAUGUCUUGAUUACUAUUAGUCUCUAAAGUAUAUAAAUGCAGUAUUUAACGUACUUUAGAUUAUUAUAUUGUGUUUUGUUCAUUUAUCGCAUUCAUUUUUAAAUCCUUAAAAGUUGCGCUAUUCGGAUCACAUUGAACGAAACGAAUCGGAUUUCUGCUUUCCCUCAUUUUUUUGUCUAUGGUUAUAAAUAUCAUAAUUAUUUAUACAUAGACAUACAAAAAAAGACAAAAUAGGGAUCAUGGAGCCCAAAAACAAUAAAAAACACAAUAAUAACAGUUAACUCCAAGGAAGUGUUGUAACUUGUACAACCCUACAAAGACGACUGGCUUGUCGAAUAAUUAAAGA
Long non-coding RNA from Nomia melanderi (Alkali bee), 3840 nucleotides. RefSeq lists it as uncharacterized. The record is from RefSeq and is a predicted model, not a curated record. NCBI's taxonomy places the organism in Eukaryota, Metazoa, Arthropoda, Insecta, Hymenoptera, Halictidae.